AGGACGAACGCUGGCGGCGUGCUUAACACAUGCAAGUCGAGCGGUGAACCGCCUUCGGGUGGGGAUCAGCGGCGAACGGGUGAGUAACACGUGAGCAACCUGCCCCUAGCUCUGGGAUAACUCCGGGAAACCGGGGCUAAUACCGGAUACGAGGCGUCUCGGCAUCGAGAUGUCUGGAAAGAUUUAUCGGCUGGGGAUGGGCUCGCGGCCUAUCAGCUUGUUGGUGGGGUGAUGGCCUACCAAGGCGACGACGGGUAGCCGGC
RNAcentral lists this ribosomal RNA (263 nucleotides) under uncultured prokaryote. RNAcentral's name for it is "partial 16S ribosomal RNA". It matches the Rfam family "Bacterial small subunit ribosomal RNA", at positions 26 to 291 of the family's 1533-position model. The record is from RNAcentral.